Molecule: long non-coding RNA, 360 nt
Filed under: Ananas comosus (pineapple)
Lineage: Eukaryota; Viridiplantae; Streptophyta; Magnoliopsida; Poales; Bromeliaceae
Description: long non-coding RNA (ACOM_LNC032031)
Source: RNAcentral
GGUCCUCUAUGGCGUGAGGAAUUCUACACUGUCACACUUGCACCACGUCAUCAAUAACAAGCCAAUCAUAUUUCUUCUUUUUAAACAAAAGUACAAUAAAAAUACUUUUUUACAAUCAUGAUGGGACAUAUAUUUUUAAAAGGAUUAAUUUGAUUGGUUUGUUACGCCACGUCACUAAUAUACCCGUUGCAUUCUAGAAUUUUUCCUGCAAAAUGGCCGGUUGAUUUUGCUGUCCGGGUGAAAAGAAAAUAGCCGGGCGGCUGUUCGAAUUCCUCAGUCCAGACUCCAGCCUGGUCGCGUGCGAUUCCAGGAGAUGCUGCCGUCUUCCUCCUCGUCCUUGUUGGCGAGCGCGAGCGCGAG